AGAGUUUGAUCCUGGCUCAGAUUGAACGCUGGCGGCAGGCCUAACACAUGCAAGUCGAGCGGAAACGAGUUAACUGAACCUUCGGGGAACGUUAAUGGCGUCGAGCGGCGGACGGGUGAGUAAUGCCUGGGAAAUUGCCCUGAUGUGGGGGAUAACCAUUGGAAACGAUGGCUAAUACCGCAUAAUAGCUUCGGCUCAAAGAGGGGGACCUUCGGGCCUCUCGCGUCAGGAUAUGCCCAGGUGGGAUUAGCUAGUUGGUGAGGUAAUGGCUCACCAAGGCGACGAUCCCUAGCUGGUCUGAGAGGAUGAUCAGCCACACUAGAACUGAGACACGGUCCAGACUCCUACGGGAGGCAGCAGUGGGGAAUAUUGCACAAUGGGCGCAAGCCUGAUGCAGCCAUGCCGCGUGUAUGAAGAAGGCCUUCGGGUUGUAAAGUACUUUCAGCAGUGAGGAAGGUGGCAGUGUUAAUAGCACUAUCAUUUGACGUUAGCUGCAGAAGAAGCACCGGCUAACUCCGUGCCAGCAGCCGCGGUAAUACGGAGGGUGCGAGCGUUAAUCGGAAUUACUGGGCGUAAAGCGCAUGCAGGUGGUUUGUUAAGUCAGAUGUGAAAGCCCGGGGCUCAACCUCGGAAUUGCAUUUGAAACUGGCAGACUAGAGUACUGUAGAGGGGGGUAGAAUUUCAGGUGUAGCGGUGAAAUGCGUAGAGAUCUGAAGGAAUACCGGUGGCGAAGGCGGCCCCCUGGACAGAUACUGACACUCAGAUGCGAAAGCGUGGGGAGCAAACAGGAUUAGAUACCCUGGUAGUCCACGCCGUAAACGAUGUCUACUUGGAGGUUGUGGCCUUGAGCCGUGGCUUUCGGAGCUAACGCGUUAAGUAGACCGCCUGGGGAGUACGGUCGCAAGAUUAAAACUCAAAUGAAUUGACGGGGGCCCGCACAAGCGGUGAAGCAUGUGGUUUAAUUCGAUGCAACGCGAAGAACCUUACCUACUCUUGACAUCCAGAGAACUUUCCAGAGAUGGAUUGGUGCCUUCGGGAACUCUGAGACAGGUGCUGCAUGGCUGUCGUCAGCUCGUGUUGUGAAAUGUUGGGUUAAGUCCCGCAACGAAGGCAACCCUUAUCCUUGUUUGCCAGCCCUUCGGGUGGGAACUCCAGGGGAACUUGCCGGUGAUAAACCGGAGGAAGGGGGGGACAAAUUCAAGUCUUCAUGGGCCCUUACGAGAAGGGGUACAACCGGGUUACAAUGGCCCAUACAAGAGGGAGCCAAUUUUGCAGAGUGGAGGGAUCUCCAAAAGG
RNAcentral lists this ribosomal RNA (1296 nucleotides) under Vibrio tubiashii. RNAcentral's name for it is "bacterial SSU rRNA". It matches the Rfam family "Bacterial small subunit ribosomal RNA", at positions 8 to 1282 of the family's 1533-position model. Lineage: Bacteria; Pseudomonadati; Pseudomonadota; Gammaproteobacteria; Vibrionales; Vibrionaceae. The record is from RNAcentral.